GUAGCUUGCUACGUGACCUAGCGGCGGACGGGUGAGUAAUGCUUAGGAAUCUGCCUAUUAGUGGGGGACAACAUUCCGAAAGGAAUGCUAAUACCGCAUACGCCCUACGGGGGAAAGCAGGGGAUCUUCGGACCUUGCGCUAAUAGAUGAGCCUAAGUCAGAUUAGCUAGUUGGUGGGGUAAAGGCCUACCAAGGCGACGAUCUGUAGCGGGUCUGAGAGGAUGAUCCGCCACACUGGGACUGAGACACGGCCCAGACUCCUACGGGAGGCAGCAGUGGGGAAUAUUGGACAAUGGGCGAAAGCCUGAUCCAGCCAUGCCGCGUGUGUGAAGAAGGCCUUUUGGUUGUAAAGCACUUUAAGCGAGGAGGAGGCUACCGAGAUUAAUACUCUUGGAUAGUGGACGUUACUCGCAGAAUAAGCACCGGCUAACUCUGUGCCAGCA
RNAcentral lists this ribosomal RNA (443 nucleotides) under uncultured bacterium. RNAcentral's name for it is "bacterial SSU rRNA". It matches the Rfam family "Bacterial small subunit ribosomal RNA", at positions 75 to 513 of the family's 1533-position model. The record is from RNAcentral.